CCGGCGAUUGCGUUAAAGAUGGCGAAGUUUGCUGUGUUGACUGUACACAAAGUUAUAUAGGGAUAUAGCCUUUUGAGGAAAAAUGUAAUUCAUUAAGAAUUAUGAUGUGCUUCCUGAAGAAGAAAAAGAAAGUAUUAGCAGAAUCAGAUAUUUUGUGUCAUUUUGCAUGUGUCACACAAUUUCUAGACACUCAAAUCUAUCUUCAAAUUUUGUGUGACAAGUGGAAUAAAAUACAAUGAAGAAUAUAUUAAAAUAAAUGAAGUUCGGUUACAUCUGUGAAACGUCGACAAGAGUGAAACACCUAUUUUACAAUUUCAUACAAAGUAAAAAGUAACACUAAAUAUUUAUUUUUGUCACUAUUGAAAAUAUACUUCAGGGUAUAUUAUUUUUA
Hydractinia symbiolongicarpus is the source of this 391-nucleotide long non-coding RNA. RefSeq lists it as uncharacterized. The record is from RefSeq and is a predicted model, not a curated record. Lineage: Eukaryota; Metazoa; Cnidaria; Hydrozoa; Anthoathecata; Hydractiniidae. The transcript is spliced from 4 exons.